AAGAGAGAGUCAAAAGACCGUGAAACCGCUCAGAGUAUAAGCCGAUGGAGCUUGGAAGGCUUCCGCAGCUCGGGCAUCACUGGUGUGAAGGCAUAGCAAGGAUCGUUAGACGUUGAGUUUGAUGUGCGGGGAUUUGGUUGGGGGUAGGCUUCGGCCGCUGGCCAUUUUCUUGAGCAUGGACGAUCAGAUGUGUCUAAUGCGGUUGCCCACCACGGCACGUUGUGAGGUCACCCACAGGCUCAAACUGCCGAUCGCGCAUGGACGAUGGCAACGAUGCGUCCCUUUGCUACGCGUGUCUAGUCCUGGGUCGGGCGGCGACCGAGAUAACCUGGUAUGAUCCUCUUGCGACGAGCUGCUUUCUGGCCAGACCGACGUCCGGGCGCUUCCACUUGCCAGUGCCAAUCCCAGGCGGUAUGCAAGGUCUCUCAGCCGGGUGGUCUGAGUGGUGUUAAGUCCAGCACCAUCGGUCACGUCUCGAAACACGGGCCAAGGAGUAUAGCAUGUGUGCAAGUCUAAGGGUCUCCCAAAACCCGAAGGCGAAGUGAAAGCAAGACUGUGGCGGGGGAGCGGCGAACCCGCCUGCCUGGCAGAGCUGAUCCUGUUUUCACGGUUAAUUCUUGGUGCAGGCGCAAGCUCCGGGCUCACGUAUAGCACUGGUCAGUGUGGCUGUGUUGUGAGCACCGUUUAGCAUGC
Molecule: ribosomal RNA, 693 nt
Filed under: Niphargus lattingerae
Lineage: Eukaryota; Metazoa; Arthropoda; Malacostraca; Amphipoda; Niphargidae
Description: partial 28S ribosomal RNA
Rfam family: Eukaryotic large subunit ribosomal RNA
Source: RNAcentral